GACGAACGCUGGCGGCGUGCUUAACACAUGCAAGUCGAACGGAAAGGCCCUGCUUUUGUGGGGUGCUCGAGUGGCGAACGGGUGAGUAACACGUGAGUAACCUGCCCUUGACUUUGGGAUAACUUCAGGAAACUGGGGCUAAUACCGGAUAGGAGCUCCUGCUGCAUGGUGGGGGUUGGAAAGUUUCGGCGGUUGGGGAUGGACUCGCGGCUUAUCAGCUUGUUGGUGGGGUAGUGGCUUACCAAGGCUUUGACGGGUAGCCCGCCUGAGAGGGUGACCGGCGACAUUGGGACUGAGAGACGGCCCAGACGCCUACGGGAGGCAGCAGGGGGGAAUAUUGCACAAUGGGCGGAAGCCUGAUGCAGCAACGCCGCGUGCGGGAUGACGGCCUUCGGGUUGUAAACCGCUUUCGCCUGUGACGAAGCGUGAGUGACGGUAAUGGGUAAAGAAGCACCGGCUAACUACGUG
This 468-nucleotide ribosomal RNA is filed under the name uncultured bacterium. RNAcentral's name for it is "partial 16S ribosomal RNA". It matches the Rfam family "Bacterial small subunit ribosomal RNA", at positions 28 to 507 of the family's 1533-position model. The record is from RNAcentral.